Molecule: ribosomal RNA, 441 nt
Filed under: uncultured bacterium
Lineage: Bacteria
Description: partial 16S ribosomal RNA
Rfam family: Bacterial small subunit ribosomal RNA
Source: RNAcentral
CCUACGGGAGGCAGCAGUGGGGAAUAUUGGGCAAUGGGCGAAAGCCUGACCCAGCAACGCCGCGUGAAGGAAGAAGGCUUUCGGGUUGUAAACUUCUUUUGACAGGGAAGAGCAGAAGACGGUACCUGUCGAAUAAGCCACGGCUAACUACGUGCCAGCAGCCGCGGUAAUACGUAGGUGGCAAGCGUUGUCCGGAUUUACUGGGGGUAAAGGGCGUGUAGCCGGGCUGACAAGUCAGAUGUGAAAUCCGGGGGCUAAACCCCCGAACUGCAUUUGAAACUGUUGGUCUUGAGUAUCGGAGGGGCAGGGGGAAUUCCUGGUGUAGCGGUGAAAUGGGUAGAUAUUAGGAGGAACACCAGUGGCGAAGGCGGCCUGCGGGACGACAACUGACGGUGAGGCGCGAAAGCGUGGGGAGCAACAGGAUUAGAUACCCCAGUAGUC